RNAcentral lists this ribosomal RNA (764 nucleotides) under Thysochromis ansorgii. RNAcentral describes it as "partial 12S ribosomal RNA". It matches the Rfam family "Bacterial small subunit ribosomal RNA", at positions 7 to 1273 of the family's 1533-position model. The record is from RNAcentral. Lineage: Eukaryota; Metazoa; Chordata; Actinopteri; Cichliformes; Cichlidae.
CAAAGGCUUGGUCCUGACUUUACUAUCAUCUUUGGCCAAACUUACACAUGCAAGUCUCCGCCUCCCUGUGAGAAUGCCCACAGUUUUCUGUUUGAAAACAAGGAGCUGGUAUCAGGCACGCUUUCCUAGCAGCCCACAACACCUUGCUUAGCCACACCUUCAAGGGAACUCAGCAGUGAUAAACAUUAAGCUAUGAGUGAAAACUCGACUUAGUUAAAGCCAAGAGAGCCGGUAAAACUCGUGCCAGCCACCGCGGUUAUACGAGAGGCUCAAGUUGAUAGACACCGGCGUAAAGAGUGGUUAAGAAAUUCCAAAAACUAAAGCCGAACACUCUCAGAACUGUUAUACGUACCCGAGAGCAAGAAGCCCCACCACGAAAGUGACUUUAUAAUUCUGACCCCACGAAAGCUGUGAAACAAACUGGGAUUAGAUACCCCACUAUGCCCAGCCCUAAACCUUGAUAGCCCACUACACCCGCUAUCCGCCCGGGCACUACGAGCAUUAGCUUAAAACCCAAAGGACUUGGCGGUGCUUUAGAUCCACCUAGAGGAGCCUGUUCUAGAACCGAUAACCCCCGUUAAACCUCACCCUCCCUUGCUUUUUCCGCCUAUAUACCGCCGUCGUCAGCUUACCCUGUGAAGGAUCUAUAGUAAGCAAAAUUAGCACAACUCAAAACGCCAGGUCGAGGUGUAGCAUAUGAGAGGGGAAGAAAUGGGCUACAUUCUCUGCUACAGAGAAUACGAAAAAUAUAAUGAAACGUAUAU